Molecule: ribosomal RNA, 253 nt
Filed under: uncultured bacterium
Lineage: Bacteria
Description: partial 16S ribosomal RNA
Rfam family: Bacterial small subunit ribosomal RNA
Source: RNAcentral
UACGGGGGGGGCAAGCGUUGUUCGGAAUUACUGGGCGUAAAGGGCUCGUAGGCGGCCAACUAAGUCGGAUGUGAAAUCCCCAGGCUCAACCUGGGAACUGCAUCCGAUACUGGAUGGCUUGAAUUCGGGAGAGGGAUGCAGAAUUCCAGGUGUAGCGGUGAAAUGCGUAGAUAUCUGGAGGAAUACCGGUGGCGAAGGCGGCAUCCUGGACCGACAUUGACGCUGAGGUGCGAAAGCGUGGGGAGCAAACAGG